CCUACGGGUGGCAGCAGUAGGGAAUAUUGCUCAAUGGGGGAAACCCUGAAGCAGCAACGCCGCGUGGAGGAUGAAGGUUUUAGGAUUGUAAACUCCUUUUGUUAGAGAAGAUUAUGACGGUAUCUAACGAAUAAACACCGGCUAACUCCGUGCCAGCAGCCGCGGUAAUACGGAGGGUGCAAGCGUUACUCGGAAUCACGGGGCGUAAAGAGUGCGUAGGGGGGUUAAUAAGUCAGAUGUGAAAUCCUGUAGCUAAACUACAGAACUGCUUUGGAAACUGUUCCUCUGGAGGGUGGGAGAGGUGGGUGAAAUGCUGGGUGUAGGGGUAAAGCCGGAGAGAUCAAGAGGAAUACUCAGUGCGAAGGCGACCUGAUGGAACAUUACCGACGCUGAUGCACGAAAGCGUGGGGAGCAAACAGGAAUAGAUACCCCGGUAGUC
This 439-nucleotide ribosomal RNA is filed under the name uncultured bacterium. RNAcentral describes it as "partial 16S ribosomal RNA". It matches the Rfam family "Bacterial small subunit ribosomal RNA", at positions 338 to 795 of the family's 1533-position model. The record is from RNAcentral.